Molecule: long non-coding RNA, 553 nt
Organism: Paramormyrops kingsleyae
Lineage: Eukaryota; Metazoa; Chordata; Actinopteri; Osteoglossiformes; Mormyridae
Source: RefSeq, a predicted model, not a curated record
AAAGCAAUGGCAGACGGCAAGGAGAGAGCAGAAGAACUUUGGGACAAGUGAUAUUCUGCGACAGGGAGUCAACCAACCACUGUCUGCUCCCACACAACACUUUUGGUGGAAUGUCAGGGCAUUCGGAGUACAGACGUGGAAUGGCAGUGCUGGAGAAAUAUUUUCAGCUGGGCAGCUCAUAUCGCGGAUCAAUUACUUUCGGCAGACUUUUAAACCCCUUUUCUACAGUUUUGAUGGGAACCAUAUCUUUUCCGAGGUAAAAGAAAAAGGUCAUUAUCUGGGAGGCCUGCUGUCUCAUAUCAAGUCACAAACCUGGUAAUACACUCCAGUGGCCGGAUAAGAAACAAGGUGCUAAGGGGCUUAAGUGAUAAGGGCAUCACAAUUGCCGGAACAGAGAGUCCGUCUGGAGAGGCCUGGCAGAAGCCGGAGAGUUAGAUUUAAGAUUCCGUGUUCCACCCAUCCCUCUCAGUACUGACACCGAUCGUGACACAUCCUUACCUGAAGACCCUUGCCUGGAACACAGACCUCGACUUUUGCCUCAACCCCCCUGGAA